GAAGGGCCCAAGCGUAGCGCGGUAUCACUGGGGCUUAAAGGGGUGCGUAGGCGGACCCGCAAGUAUCUUGUGAAAGCCCUCGGCUCAACCGAGGGAAUUGCUUGGUAAACUGCGGGUCUUGAGCUCGGCAGAGGCGGUCGGAACGCUAGGUGGAGCGGUGAAAUGCGUAGAUAUCUAGCGGAACGCCAAAGGUGAAGACAGACCGCUGGGCCGAUGCUGACGCUGAGGCACGAAAGCGUGGGUAGCGAACGGGAUUAGAUACCCCGGUAGUCCACGCCCUAAACGAUGUGCACUAGAUGCUGGAGGUGCUGACACCAUCAGCGUCGAAGCAAAAGUACUAAGUGCACCGCCUGGGGAGUACGGUCGCAAGACUA
Molecule: ribosomal RNA, 374 nt
Filed under: uncultured organism
Description: partial 16S ribosomal RNA
Rfam family: Bacterial small subunit ribosomal RNA
Source: RNAcentral